Molecule: long non-coding RNA, 901 nt
Organism: Oreochromis niloticus (Nile tilapia)
Lineage: Eukaryota; Metazoa; Chordata; Actinopteri; Cichliformes; Cichlidae
Exons: 3
Source: RefSeq, a predicted model, not a curated record
AGGGCCCCCACUCUGGUGUGAGCGUUCUGUGAUCGCCCUUGCAAGUAAAAACUGCAGCGUGUGUGUCCACUCUCUGACUCUCAGCUGAAGAAGUGUCUUUAGAAUAAAUCUCUUGACAUUUAUUUUGGUCCUUCGUAGCCGGGGCAGAAACAUCAGAACUGUUAUCUGUGACUCUGUUCCAGGAUCCAGCACUGAUUCCUGACGCCGUGGGAAGCCUGCACCGAAGUCCGUGUGCAGCCCUCUUAGACGAGGCCGAAAGACCCGGACUGUUAAAUUCGGAUUCGGGCCAGUGUCCUUAGUCUGGUCCCGGGCGGUGGGAUUCAGUCUGACGAUCCGAACCACCAGUGAGACGUCUGAGGAGACCCUCCUCAGACCGGUUUAUACACUUGCAUUGGCUACUGGGUAUCAAACAUCAGAAGCUCAAUGGCGUCCUGGAGAAUGACUGCACAAAUGGAUCUUGGAAUAUGAUCUGACACUGGUCCACCACUCCUGCCUGCACAGAGCCUUCACAAGAUCACGACCAGAACAUGGACCCCACAGACCUUUUCACUUCAGAGUUAGAUGCUGAGAUGGAAAGGCUGGUUAAAUUGCUGGACCGCAUAUGUAAGUGGUCACCAGGUGUUACUCUGAGGGAAAUCCUCCAAAAAAAACCAGACAGAGCAGUGGAACAGCCAAUGGAAUAGAACGGUGUAAAACUGUAUUUCUAAAAUAAAAACCAAUAAAACAUAAACACUAAAAGUCCGGUGGCAUCAGCCACAGCAUUAACAUCCAGUAAAAUCGGAGCGGGCAAGGAAAACCCGGCAGCACACAGCCUUCACAUGAAAAUGUUAGGUUGUUGGAGAGUUUGUUGCAGGGCUCCACUGUCAGGUGGAGGCACUGGAACCAAGUACACGGACAGACA